Molecule: long non-coding RNA, 1468 nt
Organism: Dermochelys coriacea (leatherback sea turtle)
Lineage: Eukaryota; Metazoa; Chordata; Testudines; Dermochelyidae
Exons: 4
Source: RefSeq, a predicted model, not a curated record
AGAGAACGUGCCCAAGGGUAUCCAGCUGCCUCCUGCCUUGCCUUGUCUCUGAGCUCAGAGGAGGAGGGGGCAAACCACAAUAAGUAAGCAGUAGCUCAUCCUGCAAUCAGGGGAAGAGGAUGCUGGAGUGUAGCUGAGGACAGGGAUCCUGGGGGAAAAGAACAAGAGAAGGAAAAUAACUAUCUGAGCCUCCUGGUAGUCAGCAGCAGUGGACAAAUGACCAGAUUCCACAGAAUUUUUCUGGUGUGAUUCAAAACAAUGAAACCUGCACAAAGAUUUCUAGUGCAUGGUAAUAUCCAUUAUGUGGCUACCUCUUCAGCAAAAUCAAGCACUGAGAACCAUUACAGACAACGUGCUAUGUAUGCUUACUUUUUACCAAUACAGACAAGAUGGCAGGACAACGAUAAGUAUGGGCAUGUGAACAAUGCUGUCUACUACAGCUAUUUCGACACUAUAAUCAACCAUUUUCUGAUCAGUAUGUUGCUGCUCCUCAGGGACUGCCCCCCAGACUUCCUUUGUAUAUUUACUCAUUUUGGUGAUUUUGAAGUAGUUUUGGGAUUAAGUAGGUAAAUGUAUUUAUGCACUUCCACUCUACUCCUAUAUGCCCCAGUGAUCCAGAAUGAAGCAAACAUUCAAACUGAAACACCGCUGCAGCAAAGACACAAGUAUUUAAACACUUGGGCAGUACUUGAAGUAAAUUUAGUUUCACACAUAAUUCACUUAAAUAUCUUUUUUGCAUUAAAAUUGUGUUGAAAUUGGUAUUUGAAAAUAAACUUUAAAAAUUAUAUGUAAACUGAAUGGUUAGUUCUCUGUAACCCACAGUACUUUGUAUAUGCUAAUAGCAACAUCUCUUAGAUGAUGAACAGGGCUUUUUUUGAUAUUGCUUAGGCACUGGCACAUGUCCUUUCUUGUGGAUGUUGGCAAGCACUAGCAUUUGUCUUGUCAUGAAGCACUGUCAAACCCUCUUAUGAUAUAGGUAUUACAUGUCCUUUCUCAAGGGUGUUGAUGAGCAGCAGCUGUUAUAACCCUUUCUUUGAUUUUUGUUAAAAGCCAAAAGGCCUUUUCAUAAUGACCCUUAUUUCGGUAACAGUCCUGCCAACAUUUGUGCAUGUGCACAAAAGUAAUCCCUCUGAAGUCAGUUAGUUCUGUGUUUAAGAUUUUGCAGGAUUGGAAUCCGAUUGUAUGUAACUCAUUUUGUUCUAUGUAACUGCCAUAUCUAGGGUGAACUGCAUGGAGCGCUCAUGGAAAUUAGACAAAUGCUAAUCUUGCUUUCUGUGCAUGGUUUAUGUGUCUGAAAACUUCAUAGUACUGCCACUGGGGGAUGCACACCUUAGGAAAGUGACAUAAUUAACCAAAAGGAAUAAUUUAGAUGUUAGUUCCUGAUUUCAAAAAAUGAAACUGCCAACAAAAAUUCAGAUGGGUAAAUUAAGCAAUUCUGAUUUUCAUACAUUAAAUUGACUGUUCUGAC